Molecule: long non-coding RNA, 904 nt
Organism: Carassius gibelio (silver crucian carp)
Lineage: Eukaryota; Metazoa; Chordata; Actinopteri; Cypriniformes; Cyprinidae
Exons: 2
Source: RefSeq, a predicted model, not a curated record
AAGGAAAGAACAGGGUAUCUGCUUGUAAUCAAAAACAUUUUAUUCUAGCUUCAUGCACUCUUUUUUAAACACUUUAAUGUGGGUAGGUUUCAUAAAAAAUAAAGAAAUAACAUUUUGAACAAAAAGCUGAAAAAUGAUUAAAAUGAGGCUAUGAAUUGGAUUCAGAAUGAUAAUCGCAACGUAGAUGAGUCGAUUAACACCCCAAAGCUUGACUGUAAUUAUAACCUCUUCAUCUGUCAUUUUAUUCCAUAAUGUGACAGUUUCAAUGCUGUUUCAUGUCAGAUGAUCGUGUUACAUGUGUUGGGAUCAUAGACAGACAAAAGAAACGGACACAUCGACCCCAUUGGAUUCAACGGAGACAAGUGAAGUCAAUUAGAAGCACACACUUCCUGUGGGUCGAGCGUACUGCGCAGACUCAAACUGAGCUUGAUGACGUAGAUGUCACGUGAGCAACCUGUACGUCUUCUAAUCACUGUGCCAAGAGAAAGAUGAAUCACCCACCGAAUCUUGCAGAUGUGGAUUUAAAGUGAUACUUAGAAACUUCCUGUGACAUUUUAAUGAAGAUAACUGCAAAGAAGAAGAGAUGGAAGGCCUUUACCUGUGAAAACACUGAAGUCGAGCUGCUGUGAAUCUGUGUGUGUUCUGCACAGUCACUCACGCUGAACACGAUGCCAGCAGAAACACCAUGAAGACAUUACUUCAGCUAACGAACUCGUGCUGUUGUUCAGUGUCAGAGGAACGAGGAUCAUUCCAUCCAUCAUUAGAUCCAGCCCUCAGGCACUUUCACAUUUACAUACGUUUCUCAUCUGACCACAGUUCAACAUCACUGGACAGAUGACCGGCUCUCACUGACUCCAUACACUAUGAUUUAGCAAGAGAUCUCAAAUAAAAGUUACUAAACACC